GAAUCGCGAUAGGAAUUGCGAAUUGCAGAAUUCAGUGAAUCAUCGUAACUUUGAACGCAAACUGCGCUUGGGGGCAACCCUGAGCAUGCCUCUUUGAGUGUCGGUCAAACCAUCCUGCUGGUUUUCCACAGGGAUCUGAGAGUCUGGAUGUCUCUCCAAGUACGUGCAGCACCCUUUUGGGUUGUGUCGCUUCGGCAAGUGCUCGGUCAUAUGCGAGUGGAGAUGAAUGUUUUCAUGAGCGACCUUGUGCAGUCGAUAGCGGCUCGUGCUCUGUCGUGUUGGUUCGCCAACACAUACUCUGACCAUCGACCUCAAAUGAGGUAGGAUUACCCGCUGAACUUAA
This 343-nucleotide unclassified non-coding RNA is filed under the name uncultured fungus. Its description in RNAcentral is "sequence contains ITS1". The stretch from base 1 to 103 matches the Rfam family "5.8S ribosomal RNA", at positions 50 to 154 of the family's 154-position model. The record is from RNAcentral. Lineage: Eukaryota; Fungi.